RNAcentral lists this ribosomal RNA (506 nucleotides) under uncultured bacterium. RNAcentral describes it as "bacterial SSU rRNA". It matches the Rfam family "Bacterial small subunit ribosomal RNA", at positions 791 to 1296 of the family's 1533-position model. The record is from RNAcentral.
UAGUCCACGCCGUAAACGAUGAUAACUAGCUGUCCGGGCUCAUAGAGCUUGGGUGGCGCAGCUAACGCAUUAAGUUAUCCGCCUGGGGAGUACGGUCGCAAGAUUAAAACUCAAAGGAAUUGACGGGGGCCUGCACAAGCGGUGGAGCAUGUGGUUUAAUUCGAAGCAACGCGCAGAACCUUACCAGCCUUUGACAUCCUAGGACGGUUUCUGGAGACAGAUUCCUUCCCUUCGGGGACCUAGUGACAGGUGCUGCAUGGCUGUCGUCAGCUCGUGUCGCGAGAUGUUGGGUUAAGUCCCGCAACGAGCGCAACCCUCAUCCUUAGUUGCCAUCAUUUAGUUGGGCACUUUAAGGAAACUGCCGGUGAUAAGCCGGAGGAAGGUGGGGAUGACGUCAAGUCCUCAUGGCCCUUACAGGCUGGGCUACACACGUGCUACAAUGGUUAGGACAAAGAGUCGCCAACUUGCAAAAGUGAGCUAAUCUCGUAAACCUAAUCUCAGUUCGG